UACAGAGAUCUCAAGCGUUGUUCGGAUUCAUUGGGCGUAAAGGGUGUGUAGGUGGCGCCGUAAGUCGGGUGUGAAAUUUCGGAGCUUAACUCCGAAACUGCAUUCGAUACUGCGGUGCUUGAGGACUGGAGAGGAGACUGGAAUUCAUGGUGUAGCAGUGAAAUGCGUAGAGAUCAUGAGGAAGACCAGUGGCGAAGGCGGGUCUCUGGACAGUUCCUGACACUGAGACACGAAGGCCAGGGGAGCAAACGGG
This 253-nucleotide ribosomal RNA is filed under the name uncultured bacterium. Its description in RNAcentral is "partial 16S ribosomal RNA". It matches the Rfam family "Bacterial small subunit ribosomal RNA", at positions 524 to 776 of the family's 1533-position model. The record is from RNAcentral.